RNAcentral lists this long non-coding RNA (1009 nucleotides) under Bos mutus (wild yak). RNAcentral describes it as "lncRNA (ENSBMUG00000026379.1)". The record is from RNAcentral. Lineage: Eukaryota; Metazoa; Chordata; Mammalia; Artiodactyla; Bovidae.
GGGCCAACAAGCCACUUCCAGCAGGGAGAGACAAAGACAGAGACAGAGAAACAGAGAGACAGACAGACCGAGACAGAGAGAGAGCAGAGAGACAAAGACACGCAGCCACAAAGAGACAUACAGAGAGAGAACAGAGACAGAGAUACAGAGAGACAUGGAGACAGAGACGCAGAGAGAGAAAGAGACAGAGGCAGAGAGAGACAGACAGAGACGGAGAGAGAACAGAGAGACAAAGGCACGCACCCACAAAGAGACAUACAGAGAGAGAGAAGAGAGACAGAGAUACAGAGAGACACGGAGACAGAGACGCAGAGAGAGACAGAGACAGAGGCAGAGAGAGACAGACAGAGACGGAGAGAGAACAGAGAGACAAAGACACGCACCCACAAAGAGACAUACAGAGAGAGAGAAGAGAGACAGAGAUACAGAGAGACACGGAGACAGAGACGCAGAGAGAGACAGAGACAGAGACAGAGAAACAGAGAGACAGACAGACCGAGACAGAGAGAGAGCAGAGAGACAAAGACACACGCACCCACAAAGAGACAUACAGAGAGAGAACAGAGACAGAGAUACAGAGAGACAUGGAGACAGAGACGCAGAGAGAGAAAGAGACAGAGGCAGAGAGAGACAGACAGAGACGGAGAGAGAACAGAGAGACAAAGACACGCACCCACAAAGAGACAUACAGAGAGAGAGAACAGAGACAGAGAUACAGAGAGACAUGGAGACAGAGACGCAGAGAGAGAAAGAGACAGAGGCAGAGAGAGACAGACCGAGACGGAGGAACAGAGAGACAAAGACACGCGCACCCACAAAGAGACAUACAGAGAGAGAGAACAGAGACAGAGAUACAGAGAGACACGGAGACAGAGAGACGCAGAGAGAGAAAGAGACAGAGUCAGAGAGAGACAGAGACGGAGGAACAGAGAGACAGAGAGUGACAGAGACAGACAGAGGCAGAGACAGAGACCGACGUAGAGACAGACACAAACAGAGAGACAGGGAG